Solanum tuberosum (potato) is the source of this 71-nucleotide non-coding RNA. Lineage: Eukaryota; Viridiplantae; Streptophyta; Magnoliopsida; Solanales; Solanaceae. The record is from RefSeq and is marked provisional.
GUGAUAUUGGUUCGGCUCACUAAUUUCUGAUUCAUGAAACAGAUUAGAGAUGAGCCGAACCAAUAUCACUC